Molecule: transfer RNA, 74 nt
Filed under: Candidatus Blochmannia festinatus (nom. nud.)
Lineage: Bacteria; Pseudomonadati; Pseudomonadota; Gammaproteobacteria; Enterobacterales; Enterobacteriaceae
Also listed under: 1 other name
Description: tRNA-Ile
Rfam family: tRNA
About the family: Transfer RNA (tRNA) molecules are approximately 80 nucleotides in length. Their secondary structure includes four short double-helical elements and three loops (D, anti-codon, and T loops). Further hydrogen bonds mediate the characteristic L-shaped molecular structure. tRNAs have two regions of fundamental functional importance: the anti-codon, which is responsible for specific mRNA codon recognition, and the 3' end, to which the tRNAs corresponding amino acid is attached (by aminoacyl-tRNA synthetases). tRNAs cope with the degeneracy of the genetic code in two manners: having more than one tRNA (with a specific anti-codon) for a particular amino acid; and 'wobble' base-pairing, i.e. permitting non-standard base-pairing at the 3rd anti-codon position.
Source: RNAcentral
GGCCCCUUAGCUCAGAUGGUCAGAGCAGGCGACUCAUAAUCGCUUGGUCGCUGGUUCAAAUCCAGCAGGGGCCA